UCCUACGGGAGGCAGCAGUGGGGAAUAUUGCACAAUGGGCGCAAGCCUGAUGCAGCGACGCCGCGUGGGGGAUGACGGCCUUCGGGUUGUAAACUCCUUUCGCCAGGGACGAAGCGUUUUGUGACGGUACCUGGAGAAGAAGCACCGGCUAACUACGUGCCAGCAGCCGCGGUAAUACGUAGGGUGCAAGCGUUGUCCGGAAUUACUGGGCGUAAAGGGCUCGUAGGUGGUUUGUCACGUCGUCUGUGAAAUUCCACAGCUUAACUGUGGGCGUGCAGGCGAUACGGGCUGACUUGAGUACUGUAGGGGUAACUGGAAUUCCUGGUGUAGCGGUGAAAUGCGCAGAUAUCAGGAGGAACACCGAUGGCGAAGGCAGGUUACUGGGCAGUUACUGACGCUGAGGAGCGAAAGCAUGGGUAGCAAACAGGAUUAGAUACCCUGGUAGUCCAUGCCGUAAACGGUGGGCGCUAGGUGUAGGGGCCUUUUGGGGUUUCUGUGCCGUAGCUAACGCAUUAAGCGCCCCGCCUGGGGAGUACGGCCGCAAGGCUAAAACUCAAAGGAAUUGACGGGGGCCCGCACAAGCGGCGGAGCAUGUGGAUUAAUUCGAUGCAACGCGAAGAACCUUACC
RNAcentral lists this ribosomal RNA (628 nucleotides) under uncultured Corynebacterium sp. RNAcentral's name for it is "bacterial SSU rRNA". It matches the Rfam family "Bacterial small subunit ribosomal RNA", at positions 337 to 975 of the family's 1533-position model. The record is from RNAcentral. Lineage: Bacteria; Bacillati; Actinomycetota; Actinomycetes; Mycobacteriales; Corynebacteriaceae.